AGUGUACUGUAACAGCAUGGCUA
Molecule: non-coding RNA, 23 nt
Filed under: Arabidopsis thaliana (thale cress)
Lineage: Eukaryota; Viridiplantae; Streptophyta; Magnoliopsida; Brassicales; Brassicaceae
Source: RNAcentral